Schizosaccharomyces pombe (fission yeast) is the source of this 304-nucleotide non-coding RNA. The record is from the annotation of a GenBank genome assembly. Lineage: Eukaryota; Fungi; Ascomycota; Schizosaccharomycetes; Schizosaccharomycetales; Schizosaccharomycetaceae.
CUUGAAUUUAUAGUUACCCUUUAAGUUUUCGCGAAGCUUAAGAUGGUUAUAGAUUUCACCGUUGACAGUAAGGACAAGUUUACCAUCGUCAGAUACAAGAGGUUGAGCACCACUUUCAACACCGACAAUAGCAAGACGCUCAUGGCAAAGAAUAGUUUGGUUGCGAAUAGCCUUACCAGACCAGUCAGGACCACGGUGACGAAGUUGUUUCGACAAAUGAAGAGCCUUGGGCUUGAAAGCCUCAAUAUCUUCGGCGACGUGAUGAACAGCAAGAAUACCACACAUAGUUAAUGUUUCAAAAAAA